RNAcentral lists this ribosomal RNA (497 nucleotides) under uncultured bacterium. Its description in RNAcentral is "partial 16S ribosomal RNA". It matches the Rfam family "Bacterial small subunit ribosomal RNA", at positions 28 to 507 of the family's 1533-position model. The record is from RNAcentral.
GAUGAACGCUGGCGGCGUGCCUAAUACAUGCAAGUCGAGCGAACAGAUAAGGAGCUUGCUCCUUUGACGUUAGCGGCGGACGGGUGAGUAACACGUGGGUAACCUACCUAUAAGACUGGAAUAACUCCGGGAAACCGGGGCUAAUGCCGGAUAACAUGUUGAACCGCAUGGUUCUACAGUGAAAGGCGGCUUUGCUGUCACUUAUAGAUGGACCCGCGCCGUAUUAGCUAGUUGGUGAGGUAACGGCUCACCAAGGCAACGAUACGUAGCCGACCUGAGAGGGUGAUCGGCCACACUGGAACUGAGACACGGUCCAGACUCCUAAGGGAGGCAGCAGUAGGGAAUCUUCCGCAAUGGGCGAAAGCCUGACGGAGCAACGCCGCGUGAGUGAUGAAGGUCUUCGGAUCGUAAAACUCUGUUAUUAGGGAAGAACAAAUGCGUAAGUAACUGUGCGCGUCUUGACGGUACCUAAUCAGAAAGCAACGGCUAACUACGUG